CAAGAAUUAGUCUUCACAGAAAGAGGAGGACUCUUUUUACCUUAAGGCCUUCAGGAGCUCUACUAAGCCCAUAAUGGGUGGUAUCAAGCUCUGCCUUUUGCUGCUGCUGGGCACAUACACACUAGCCCAGCAAGAUAUGGGAAGUGUUGAUGAACAAUCCCCAGUUUGCUUAUUGGCCAAAAGAUUCAAAAACUUCCGGCGGUUUGUGUACAACUAUGAAGCUGAAACCUUUAACAGCGUGAAUGGCGCCACCGAAAAUAAGAGCGGCCCCAAAGUCUCCUGCAAAGUUGAGGUUGAAGUUCCCCAGACCUGUAGCUUCAUCCUCCGUACAACAGAGUGCUCACUGAGCGAGCUCAUUGGUAUGGACCCAGAAGGGAACCCAAUGUAUCGCCCUGCUGAGGGAGCUCUGGCUUUCACAGCUGCUAUGGCCAAGAACGCCUUGAAGAUCACAGUUGAAGGACAGACUUAUGUCAGCCUCUACCCUGAGGACGAUGAGCCCGUCAACAUCCUGAACAUCAAGAGGGGAAUCAUCUCUGCUCUCAUCGUGCCAGUAAUGGAAGAGGAGAAGAACAACAAAAUGUCCACCGUGCACGGAGUGUGCCCCACCGACUUCACCGUCAACGCCAGAGAGGACAUUGCCACCGAUGUGACUGUCAGCAGGGAUCUUUCCAACUGUAACUCUUUCGCUGCCCGCAGGCAGGUCACCAGUCCCAUGGCCCUCAUCACUGGCAUGAACUACCCUCUGUCCCAGAUGAUUGGCAGCACUCAGAUUUGCAACUACAAGUUUGACAACCAGAAGAAGCACAUGACCAGUGGAAUCUGCACAGAGAAACACAUCUUCCUGCCCCUCUCACACCAGAAUGAGUAUGGAAUUUCUACUCUGGUGAAACAAACUGUGACUCUGAGAGAGACCAGCAAGAUCAAUGACAGAAUCUUUGAUCGCAAUGAGCACAACCUCAAGGACUUGGCCAUGGAAGUUGCUGACGACAAGUCUCCGGUGCAGACCAAGGAUGCUGUCAUUGCCACCAUGCAGCAGCUGAACACCCUGUCAAAGACCACUCAGGGCGAGGACCGCGCCGGCCUCUUCAACAAGCUGGUGUCCGAGCUGCGCGGCCUGGAAGUUGAGGUUGUGGGAUCUGCUACUGUCGAAAUGAUGGACAUGUCCCAAUUUCUGACAUGGCAAUCUUUGACUCAGUGCGGCACCCCAGAAUGCACUAGCGCCAUGCUGAGGAUCCUCAGGACCUUUGACAAUGCUUCUCUUGAGGUUGAUGCUACUGUCUACGCCUUGGGAAUGCUGUCCAACCCCUCCCGCCUCAUGGUGAAGGACAUGCUGGAAAUGGCUCAGUACAAGCAGAGCAAAGCCAUCAUGUAUGCCCUGAGCAAUGCAGUCAGGAAACUGUACCAGGCUGAGGGCGUCACCCCUGAGAUCACUGCUGUCUCUGAGUUCAUGGCUUCGCUCCUGGGCGCGGACUGCGCUGGAGAGAAAGAUCUGACCUUCCUGACCUUGAGGGUUGUUGGUAACAUGGGGGAUGCAAUGGAGGUUGCUGACGCUGCUAUAAAGACCAUCCUGCUGAAGUGCAUGAGACAGCCUGCAACCACACUGUCUGUGCAGCUGGCUGCCAUCCAGGCUUUCAGACGUAUGUCUGUGACAGAUGAGGUUCGUUUGAACCUCCAGAGGGUCAGCCAGUACCCCAAGGGUGCUGUGCAAAAGCGCCUGGCAGCUUACCUGAUCCUGAUGAGGAAUCCCCAGGACAGUGACAUUGAGAUAGUGAAGAAGCUGCUUAACCAGGAGCAGAACAUGCAGAUCAAGUCCUUUGUGUCUUCCCAUGUCUACAAUAUAAUUUCCUCCACUGAUUCAGAGACCAAGAAACUUGGUCAGAAGAUAAUGGAUGCCCUGCAGGACACUGACGUCACCACACACAGCGACUACACCACAAAGUCUCGCAACUACAAGCUGGGCCUGGCACAGGACAGCAUGCAGGCGGUCGUCCAGGGCAACAUUGUCUUUGAUCCCAGUAGCCAAUUGCCAAGGGAGGUGUUGCUGGAAACUACAUUGGAAGUCUUUGGUUUCAACAUGGAUCUUUGGGAGAUUGGCAUGGAAGGAAGGGGCUUGGAGCCAACAAUUGAUGCUUUGUUUGGAAAGAAUGGGUUCUUCCCUGACACUUUGGCUAAGACUUUGUACUGGACUUUAGACAAGAUACCACCAAAGAUGAAAGAGCCCCUGAAUAAAUGGGUUCCUACCAUGGACACAGAAGGAAGAAAGAUUCCCGAAAAUCUUGUGAGAGAAAUUGUCCGCAACUUCAACAAGCUGGUGAAGGAUCUGCAGAGUCAAGAAUCCCCAGAGGCCACGGCCUACCUGAAGAUCAUGGGAGCAGAGCUUGGCUACAUCAAGGGCAACGAUCUGAAGUUUAUUGCUGAAAACGCAAUGAUGUAUGCAGAAAUUUUCAUGAAGAUUAUUCCUGAAAAGGUUGUGGCAAAUCUGAUGUCCAGCACUGAGAAUGAGAUCUUUGCCCAUUACAUCUUCAUGGACAACAAAUUCAUCAUGCCAACAGCAUCUGGCCUGCCUCUGACAUUUGCUUUGUCUGGUACCUUUGCUCCUGGAGCAAAGGGAGGCCUUCGCAUGGAUCCAAACAUGAAGGAGCUGCUGUUCUCACCCUCUAUUGGAGUUGAGUUUGUGACUAAGAUGGGAGUCCACGUCCCUGAAUUUGUUGUGUCCGCUGUUGAGAUGCACACCAACAUGUACCACGAGAGCACACUCAAUGCCAAGAUCACCAUGGAGCAGAACCAGGUCAAGCUUUCCAUACCCGCCCCACAGGGCACCACCAAAUUCCUGAGCAUCAGCAAUAAAGUGCUGAUUGUGGGUGCUGGACACGCUACAUUGAUCCCACACACAGAGGGUGAAUCAAGCUGCAAACCCCUCUUCUCUGGAGUCAAAUACUGCAUCAAAACACUCCAUGCCAGCACUGGAGAUAAAACUGCUGUGCCUUACUUCCCCUUGAAUGGAGAGACUAAGUUUGCUGUGGACAUCAAGCCUUCUAAAGAGGUGUCCGAGUACACAGCCACCAUCACCUACAAACUCCUCAGCGAAGGAAAGGACGGCAACCAGAAGGUUGAUUCUUUGAAGAUGGCUCUGAGAGCUGAGGGUUCUCAGCCGACCGAGGCUACCGCCACCAUGAAGUACAACAGGAACAGGAAUGUCUUCACCACCCAAAUUCAGGUACCUGACUUUGAUGUUGAGGCCGGCGUUAAGAUUGCCAUGACCGACAGCAGUGCCAAAGGCAAAUCCAUGACCCUCGAGAUCUCCAACAAGAACGUGCCCCAGCUCUCUCUGAUUGGCCGUGCCAAGCUUCAGACCAUGACCAAUGGCAUGCUGCAGGUUCAGCUGUUAGUCCCCUCACUCAAGACUGAUGCCGCCAUCACUGCCACCAUGAGCAAUGCUGAUGGACUCACAAUGGAGAUCAAAAGUGAUGUCAAGCUCCCAGAGACCUCCUCCAUUCAGGCAGUCACAUUCAAAUAUGGUGAAGACCAGGCUGAGAUUCAGCUGAAGUCCAACAUGAAUGCUGAUACUAAGAUCCUGGUGCCUUACACUGAAGCCCUUCAGGCCUGGCUGAGGCAGUUGGCGGAUGAUGUCAUGGACCAGCAGGUUGUAAAGACAGACAUGAAACUGCGUCAUGUCCUCAACAAGGCAGUUGAGGCCAGUGAUAUCUGGAUGGACAAAAUCUCAGCUGAUGUUCCCUAUGUUGAGACUCUGAGGAACAGAAUUGCAAGUGUGGAAAUGCCCUCCGUGCCUGAAAAUCUAUUCAUGAACCUGGAUAGCACAUUCAAAUACCAGUUCAACAAGGACCGUAUGGCCAUCACUGUCCCUCUACCUCUUGGAGGCAAAUCAUCUGAGGAGCUAAGGAUACCUCCAAUGGUCAACUCCCCGAGCAUCUCAAUGCCUCAGCUGGGCAUGGAGUUUGCCUCACAAGAGAUCCAAAUCCCCACUUUUACCAUCCCCUCUGAAUAUGAUCUCACCCUGCCUCUGAUGGGAAUGGUGGAGGCAUCUGCCAAGGUCACCAGCAACUAUUAUAACUUGGAGGCAACUGUGUCUGCUGGUAACAACACUGCAGAGUCUCCUAGCUACAUGGCCAAGUUCAGCGUCAUGGCUGACAGUCCAAUCAAACUUCUCUCCUUCUCAACUGAGGGAGCUACAGCAAUCACAGACACAGCAGAGAAGACAAUGAAAUUCACCAUUGAUGGUUCCCUGAACCAUAUUCUAAUGAACACAGGUUUUAAUGUGUUGGAAACCAUUGCUGUCACAGACAAUGUAAUGUCAACAGGAAGGUAUAACAUCUAUGCUGUCGCCCCUGUUGGCCUGGAGACAUCGCUGACUAUUACCACCCAGGUCACCCUAGAUUCAAACAUGCUCUCCGGAGAUAUCAACACAGACGGAAGUGUGUCUGUUGGAUCCAUGACUGCUAGCACCACUUAUCUCCACACCUUCUCUGUUGAGCCAGCAAAGAAAGAAGCUAAACUGGAGAGUACACUGAGGGUGAACUCUGAAAUCCUGAAGGUUGCCAACAAGAUCAAAGCAUCAUAUGAAAAUGAGGAACUCAUGAUUGAGUCUAACACAAACAUUAACACUAACCCCAUCAAGCACACCACCAAAAUGAGCCUUAGCUAUAAAGAAGUCAAGCUUACCAUCCAGUCUGACUCUGUGACCAAGGCUGAUGAGCGAAUGGUUCGUAGCCAAAUGGAGUUCUCUGCCUCUGACGGACAGGCCAGCCUCAGGAUAGAGAAUCAAGCUGAUGAUACAGUGAACCGUGCCUACUCUUUGUUAACUGGGUCCAUGAACCCCUCCGGCUUGGAGAUCAAUGCUGAUGCUUCUUUGAACCUCUUCUCAAGCCUGGCCUCUUACAAGGCAACCUUGGCCCUGAACACGAAUGGCCUGACCACCAGCUGUACAACAACUGCUCAGCACAGCCCAAUGACCUUUGAGAAUGUUUUCCACGGUGGAGUUGACACCUCUGGUGCCACCGUCUCACUCACCACUAAGGGAGCCAUUCAAGAGAACAAAGCUGAACUCAAUGUUGAGGGAAAGAUUGCAAGCACGGACGUGUAUCUCAACGGCAUCCUUAAGGGUAACCUCUUUGACAUCAACACCAUGAACAGAGUGAACCUCAGACUGAAUGAAGAUGGCUUGAUCCUCUCCAACAACAUAGUUGGAUCUUUCAACGAGAUGAGGACCGAAAAUACCAACUCACUGUCUCUUACACUGAGAUCUUUCGUGCUCCGCUCCAAGACUGACAACGUCCUUGACAAGAGGAACUCCUACAUGCAUGACAUCGCAGUUAACAUGGAGCGUUUUACUGCCUCAGUUAAUGUGAAGAAUGACCUGAAGAUCAUGGAGAUUAACUUUGUGAAUGAUGCCCAGUUCAAGGCAGAGCCCUACAACAUGGAGCUGACUGGAACAAUGAUGGGAGUCUUUUCAGAGAAAGAGCUCAAGCAUACUUAUGAAGUCAAGUUUGUUGAUAUGGUCUUUUCUGCAAAGUGCAAUACCAAUGGUAAACUCCUGGGCGCUCAAAUAACACAUACCACUGAUAUGGAGGUUGCUGGUCUGACCAUGAAAUUUAACAAUGUGGCUAACUACAACUCACCAUCUAUUCGUGUGGACAGUACAGUCACAACUGUUGCUGCACCCUUCUCUCUGAACAUUGAUGCCAUGCUCAACUCCAAUUUUGCAUUUUAUCUCUAUGGGGCGCAGAGUGGCGAACAAUACAGCAAAUUCCUCCUUAAGGCAGAACCCCUGCUGUUGACACAUUCAUUUGAGUACAGAGCCUCAACCACCCAUAAACUGGACAACGAAUACACUCUCAACACCAACAUGGACAACAAGUUCAACAGCAUGCUGAGCCUCCAUGAGCAAAGUGUCACAAUGAAGAUGGCAUCCCAAGUAAACGAGCACACUUUUGACCAAGUGAUGAAUGCCUAUAACAAUGCAGAGAGAAUGGGUAUUGAGAUGUCAGGAGCUGUUUCAACUCCUCUCUUAAGUGAGGUCACAGAAGAUUAUGCCAUCUCUGCAUUUGUGAAAUAUGACAAGAACAGUGACAGCCACUUUGUCCAGAUCCCAUUCAUUGAGCAUCUGCCUGCAGUUAUUGAAAACAUGAAGACCACAAUGAUGAGGCUGAUGGACCAAAGCAUUGAGAUGCUUAAAGACAUCAACACCAAAUAUGAGAUCAGUGCCAAAUUGCAGAACAAAUUGUUAGAACUGAAGGAGGUUAUUGAUAGCUUUGACUUCAACCUCUUUAUCGAAGAUCUGAGAAAGUUUAUCAACUCUAUGGAAAAUGUCAUGACCAACCUGACAGCAAAGUUCCCAACUGACAAAGUCAUGAAUGUGCUGCAUUCAAUGAAGGAGGCUAUUAUGGCUUGGAUCAAGAAGCAUAACAUUGCUAACAACUUCAAUAUUAUGUAUGCCAAAAUAGAGGAGAUCCUCUCCAGCUAUGAGGUUGAGAAGAUAAUUGGGGCCAUCAUGGACGAGGUUGUUAAAAUUAUGAAACAGUAUCAGGUGAGGGAAAAGAUGCAGUCUGCUUUUGCUGCUCUCAAGUCAAUUGACAUCGAGCCUUUGCUCAAAAGAGUUAUGGCACCUGUUCAGGAGCUUGUGAAUGAGCUGUAUUCCUUUAACUUCAAACAGCUGAUUGAUGACAUGAGUGACUAUUUCAUGAGGAUGGUCCAGAAAUUCCAAUCUUUUGAUUAUGACACAUUCACUAUGGAAUUGAAAGAGAAAGUUGCAGAUAUGAGCAAGAUUCCCUGUUUUGGAAAACUCUAUGGAGAGUUCAGAGUUACCUCCCCUCACUACACACUCAGGACCAAUGGUGACCUCGAGAAUAUCACAACUACUUCAGUCACACCAGAGUUUAAAAUCAACCUUUACUCAAAGGCUUCGUCUACUUUGAAAAUUCUUGACUUCACAGUGGAUGCCAGUGCUCAAGUUGCUGCGCCCAAGAUGAGUCGCCUGUCCAUCUCUGAGAACAUCAAAGUUGACCAGUCAUGUUUCACACUUGACCACAAGGGAACAGUGACUCUCUAUGGCUUGUCAGCUCAAGCUUCUGCUGAAACUACUGCAAAGGCUAACACUGAGUUAUAUGUUGCCGAGCUUGUCAACAAUGUAUUCUUUGCCCUUGAAAAUGGAGUUUCUGCCACUGUGGAGACUAGCUACAAACAUGAUCUCAAUAUGCCAUCCCCCAACAUCUUCAGCGAAACAUCAGUCAAUCAAAAGAACGUCCUCCAGCUUGAUGCUGGCACUGCCACUCUGACCAUUACCAAUCUGGCCAAUGGAAAGUAUGCAGUUCAGGACUUUUCGGAUGAAGCAACCCACAAGAGUGACAUGGAGGUGGUGAUGGAUCUCCACACAACCAAACUGACUUUCACUGGAGCAACAGGCAGCAGCCACUUGAAAAUGAAUCAAAAUGUGGUCGCCGAUAUCUGCAUUUACCGCCAUGUAAUUAUUGAUGCCAAGUUUGAGACAGAAACACCUUUCAUGAAGGGCAGUGUUGCAGAAGUCAAAUUCCAGGCUAAUGCCGCAGACCUGAAAAUUGAUUUCACUGCCUCUCACAGUGCAGAGCUGGCUGGACAGGUUGAGGGAACUCUCUCAAACUCUGCACUUGCUUUGGUCACACCUAGUGGGCUUAUGUUUGACACCAAGAACAAGGGAAAUGUCAAGGUUGCCCUUCCAUUCAAGCUGUCUGGAAAGAUGGAUCUCCAGAAUGACAUCUCUUUGACCGUUAACUCUGAAGUGCAGCAGGCUAGUUGGACAGGUCUGGCUAGAUUCAACCAGUACAAAUAUUCCCAUUACUUCACCAUGGAUAAUGGUGACGGAGAAAUUAACAUACUUUCCCAGAUCAAUGGAGAAGCUAAUCUGGAUGUACUGAAGGAGCCUAUCACCAUUCCUGAAAUAACUGUGCCAUUUGUUGGCAUGAUGACACCAAGAGUGGAAGACUACUCUCUGUGGGAAGACACUGGCCUGAGCAAUCUCUUGAUCACAACUCAGCAGACAUUUGACAUGAACUCCAAGCUGAAGUACAUGAAGAGCCCUGAGAUGAACACCAUUGACAUUAAUGUAGAUCCAAUCAUCGAUUUAUUUAAUAACAAUGUCAAAACUCUGCAAAAGAAAAUGCUCAUUGGUAAGAAUAAGGCUGCCGCCAUCCUGGUUACAUCUUAUGACCAAGCAAAGGCAGAGUAUGAAAAGUAUAGCAUUGAGCUUCCCAAAACCAUUACAGUCCCUUCCUACAAAGUUCCAGUGAUUAAUGUUGAGGUGUCCACAUUCACCAUUCCCCUGCCCGACAUCAGUCUCAUCACAACACCUGCUCUGCAUGUUCCAUCUGCCCUCAGCAAGUUGACUCUUCCAAAAAUCACUCUACCCAAAAUUAAAAGCAUCAGUAUUCCAGUACUGGGUGAUCUGACCUACGAGUUCUCCAUGAAAACCGCAAUGGUCACACUCAAAACUGAUGCUAGCAUGCUAAACCAGGACAGCAUCAUCAUCAAACUUGGUGCUUCCUCAACCUCUGAAUUUGAGGUUCUGACUGGAAAGAUUGAGGGCAACACCAACGUAAACACGGUCGGCGGAUUUAAAAUGGUCUCUGUCCUGUCUGUGAAACAUCCAAUGCUUGAGGGAAACCAUGACAGCACCAUCACUUUAAGCUAUGAAGAUGUCCAUACCACCUUCACCAAUUCAGCCAAGGUCAAUCUCCCUGUCCUGAAUAUGGAAAUCUAUCAAGAGAUUACUGGAAAUCCAAAGGAAGGCCUUGUUGUUUCUAUAUCCACUCCAUCUGCAGGACUCGUUGCACUUCAAAUGCAGACUAAGCGCCCAGCACAAGUGAAAGCAAGAUUCUAUGGUCGCUACCCGUCUGAGCCAACAACCGACAUUGAUAUCUUGGCUCUGAAGCUGUCUGUGAUGAACUCUGAGAAGCUGAACCUUCAGACAACCUGGAACAUGGAGAUGCCAUAUGAGAUGAUGCUGGGACUGAAGAAACAGGUGCCCACAGUCAUGGAAAUGGUGUCUGAUCCUGCUGUCAGGACAUACAACACAAUCUCCAGACAUGCUAGUAGCCUUGAGGGUUCUUUUGAGCAGGCUAGAGAGCAGGGUAAAGUGAUGUUCAAGAGGGCUGUUGACAACUUUGCAGCAGUAAGUCCUUCUAAUUUUAUGACAACUGUCACAGAGAAGACCAUUUUGAUCCUCAAAGAGUACCAAAAGAAAGUUGGAAUUGUCCUGGAUGCUGUUGUUAAAUUCUUGAGAGAGACCCAGUUCCAGAUUCCUGGUUAUGGAAAGAGGCUGUCUGGGCUUGAGAUCUACCAGAAAUAUACCGCUUUUGUUGCCGAUGUAUCUGAAGAGGCUGUUCAAAAAGUUCCAGAGUACUUUGCCUACAUGUUUACAGCAGUCCUUGAUUAUUGCCGAGCCAUUGAGUUCACCCUUCCUGGCUCGAACUACGUUGUCAGCGGAAGUGAAAUUCUUGAUGACUUGUUUGUGGCUUUGAGGAAAAUUCAGGACCAAGUGGUUGUGAUUGUUAGGAAACUGGGGGAAAUCCAGCUGGAAGAUGUCAUUAAUAAAUUAUCUGCAUUUGUGCAGUUUACCACUGAGCAAAGCGAGAAGUUUCUCCAAACCCUUAAAUCUCAGAACGUAGAGAAGCUCUCCACCUUUGUGACCGAUGUAUACAAUGAUGCCAUCAACUCUCGUGUCCUGGCUGAUGUUGCCAAUCAGGUUGAAAAGGCACGCAAAAUUGUUGUAGAAUAUUUCACAGCCGUUAAAGCUAAACUCCAGAAUAUUUUUGCCGAAAUGUCAUUUGAACAACUUCAAGCUGACAUCCAGUCCUGGAUUGACUUAUUGGUAAAACGUAUGAAUGCUUUCCACAACAAUGUCAUGCAGACACUUAAGGAGAAAAGCAAAAUUAUUGAACCAUUUGUGAGAGUAGAUGACAGACACAUGGAGGUUAACAUUCCUUUUCCAUUUGUUGUCAAAUCCAACUAUCUCGAAUACCUCCCAGAUCCCCUCCUUGGUUUUGGCAGAGCACUCCAAAUAGUCAUAUGCGCCAAUGCGCGUGGCCAUGGCCCGGCCGUCCUCUGCUCUCACCGGCUCCAGUUUCAACCGGGACAGCUCGUUCUUUACGUUCUCGUCGUUGCGCAGGUCUUUCUUGUUGGCCACUAAUAUAAUGGGCACAUUGGGGCAGAAAUGUUUGACUUCGGGGACCCACUUUUCGGGGAUGUUUUCCAACGAGUCCGGGCUGUCCACGGAGAAGCACAUCAGAAUGACAUCGGUGUCCGGGUAGGAGAGGGGCCGCAGCCGGUCGUAGUCCUCCUGCCCUGCGGUGUCCCACAAAGCCAGCUGGACCUGCUUGUUUUCCACCUCUAUGUCCGCCACGUAUGUCUCAAACACAGUCGGAACAUACACCUCGGGGAACUCGUCUUUGCUGAAUACGAUCAACAGACAUGUUUUCCCACAUGCGCCGUCCCCCACCGCGACUAGUUUCUUCCGUAUGUCUGCCAUUACUGCCUGUUUUUCCCCCCUUACCUCUCGCCUAAAUCCGGCAUCAAAAACACGGAUCCUCUGGGGCCGUUCACUCCCUCUGUUCUCUAAACCCUGAAUGAGACUCGUCCCGUCGGCCGCUCCCGUCUACCAACACCGGAACAUUUACCAGUAACCACCGCAGUGUCUUUAUAAAGCAUAGGGUGGUUUCCUAAAUUUAGCAAUCCAAUCGGAAAUAGGGAGUUCACGCUAUUUACAGGGAGGGGGCACUAGCGUAGGCAAACUCUUAGCAUUGACUAUCAAGCGAGCCUUGCUAAAUCACCGCUCUCUCCUAGGAAACAAAACAAUAUAGACUCGGGUCGACGGCGUGCAGCGAGCAUCGACCCUCUCUGCAAAGACAACGCGUGAGCUUUCCCGUGGAAUGAGCGUUCCAUGCAGCAUCCUAGGUAUGAAUGACGUGGCCUGGCAGGAGACAAGAGUUGGGAUGCUGCAUGCAAAUGGUGCUCCUGAGACUGGAGGUGUCAGAGUUCACGUUGGGGUAGCUGGACAGGCGUCUGGAGUUCCACAUUUACAAGGCAUGGACAGGGUUGUCAACCCUACCACCCCGGGUACCCCGCAGCCUCCGCUGAGUGGACGAUCUCAGGAUGAUGCCACAGUUGGAUACUUCUUUCAGAGGCAACCCGGAGAGCAACUUGGAGGUUGCACACCCAGCAAACAUCGCUGGCCGACUGGUGAUGCCAAUCAUGUUGAUCAGGUCCGUGCUAGUGAUGAAAUGAACUAUGACUUUCAAGCUCUUGCUUUGGAGUCAAGGGGCAUGGGAGAGCUUCUGCCAGCAAAAAAACUCUGGGAUUCUGAUGAGCUGGCCAAGGAUGGAAGGAAAGGCAUGCUGCUUGGAGAGGAGUGGAGGGACAAUGCAUGGGGAUCGUCUCAUCAUUCAGUGUCUCAGCCAAUCAUGGUGCAGCGGCGACCAGGCCAGAGUUUCCAUGGGAAUGGUGAUGCCAAUUCUGUGCUUUCACCUCGCUCAGAAGGUGGAGGUCUUGGGGUGAGCAUGGUGGAGUACGUCCUGAGCUCUUCUCCUGGUGACAAGAUGGAUGGUCGCUACAGGAACGGUGGCUAUGGUGGAGGAGAUGUUGACCAAGAUGGGAGAGAAAAGAUUGAUGUCCAAGAGAAAGUCUCCCCCUUUGAAGAGGACAAGAGCCCAGAGAUGAAGGUUGGAGAUGAGAAUGAUCCUGCUAAGGCCAACGGAAGAGGUCUUCUCAACGGCAUGGACAGGGAAUGCAAAGACUUCAAUCCAACCCCUGGAAGUCGCCAAGCUUCCCCCACUGAGGCUGUGGAGAGAAUGGGUCCCAGUCAGUCUGGUUUGGAGAUGAUGGGACAGCACCACCCACAUGCCUUCCAACAGCACAACCCUGCCCAAAACAAGGCACCCGAGGACUUCCAGAGCCAGGAGGCCCAGAACAUGGGAGGUAUGGAGCAACAAGCCGGUGUGGAGUCCCUCCAGUUUGACUAUGCUGGUAACCAGAUUCAGGUGGACUCUUCAGGGACUCCAGUAGGAUUGUUUGACUACAACUCACAGCAGCAGUUGUUCCAGAGAUCUAAUGCCCUGACUGUACAACAGCUAACUGCAGCUCAGCAACAACAAUAUGCCCUGGCUGCAGCCCAGCAGCAGCAUCUCGCUGGCCUUGCUCCUGCCUUUGUGCCAAACCCUUACAUCAUUAAUGCUGGCCCCCCUGGAACGGAUCCCUACACUGCCGCUGGGCUGGCAGCAGCAGCAUCGCUUGCAGGUCCCACAGUGGUUCCACCACAGUACUAUGGCGUUCCUUGGGGUGUGUACCCGGCCAACCUUUUCCAGCAACAGGCUGCAUCAAAUGCCAAUCACUCAGCUAAUCAGCAAGCAUCCAAUCAGGGACCAGGCCAACAACAGGUGAUGCGCCAAGGAAACAACCAGCGACCUCUUACACCUGGGCAAGGCCAACAGAGUCAGCAGGAAUCUUUGGCUGCAGCAGCAGCUGCAAACCCUGCGUUGGCAUACGCAGGAAUGUCUGGUUAUCAGGUUUUGGCCCCUGCAGCCUAUUAUGACCAGAAUGGGGCCUUGGUGAUGGGCCCUGGUGCCCGAGCUGGUCUAGGUGGACCAGUUCGUCUAGUCCAGACCCCUCUUCUCAUCAACCCUGCAGCAGCGCAGGCUGCUGCGGUGUCAGCAUCUGGCUCCGGCAACAACAUGUCUGGUCCUCCAGGCCAAGGUCUAUACCGCUCCAUGCCUCAACCUCAACAGCAGCAGCAGCAGCAGCAGGCUCCCCCACCCAGCAGCGGCCUGCCCUCCAGCUCAUUUUAUGGCUCUGGAUCGGUCCCCAACACUUCUCAGAGCAGCUCCCUUUUCUCACACACCUCUGCUGCGCCUCCACCACAGAGCUCCUCCCUGGGCUUCAGCAGUACCGGUGGAUCCCUCGGCGUUGGCCUGGGCUCUGCUCUUGGAGGCUUCGGCUCUUCUGUGUCUAGCUCUACCAGUAGCAGUGUAUCUCGCAGGGACUCCUUGCUGGCAAGUUCUGAUCUUUACAAACGUGGUGGCAGCAGUUUGACUCCCAUCGGCCAGCCCUUUUACAACAGCCUGGGUUACUCCUCUUCACCCAGCCCCAUUGGCCUCACACCAGGUCACUCUCCACUCACUCCUCCACCUUCUCUGCCCUCUUCUCAUGGAUCCUCUACUAGCCUUCACCUAGGUGGCCUGACGAAUGGCAGCGGGCGUUACAUUUCUGCCGCGCCUGGAGCCGAGGCCAAGUACCGGAGCACCGGGGGGACGUCCAGUCUUUUCAAUUCCACUAGCCAGCUGUUCCCGCCGUCUCGACCUCGCUACAGUCGUUCUGAUGUCAUGCCGUCUGGACGCAGCCGCCUACUGGAAGACUUUAGGAACAACCGCUUCCCAAACCUCCAACUCCGUGACCUGCCCGGCCACAUGGUGGAGUUCUCUCAAGACCAGCAUGGAUCCAGAUUUAUCCAGCAGAAGCUAGAGAGGGCCACUCCCGCUGAGAGGCAGAUGGUGUUUGGAGAGAUUCUGCAAGCAGCAUACCAACUGAUGACUGAUGUAUUUGGGAACUAUGUUAUCCAAAAGUUCUUUGAGUUUGGAAGUGCAGACCAGAAGCUGGCUUUGGCAACACGUAUCCGAGGACACGUCCUUCCCCUGGCUUUGCAGAUGUAUGGAUGCAGGGUCAUUCAGAAAGCCCUGGAGUCCAUUUCCUCAGACCAGCAGGUAAUUAGCGACAUUGUCCGUGAGCUGGAUGGCCACGUGUUGAAGUGUGUCAAGGACCAGAAUGGCAACCAUGUGGUGCAGAAGUGUAUCGAGUGUGUCCAGCCUCAGGCCCUACAGUUCAUCAUUGAUGCCUUCCAAGGACAGGUGUUUGUGCUCUCCACACACCCCUAUGGCUGCAGAGUUAUCCAAAGGAUUUUGGAGCACUGCACCCAGGAGCAGACUCUGCCCAUCCUGGAAGAGCUGCAUCAACACUCUGAACAGCUGGGCCAGAAAUAUCAAGGCGUAUCAUUGGAGAUGACACCCAAAACAUAUUAUACAGUGUCCCGCGAUGCACUGUUCAAGGAUCAGUAUGGUAACUACGUCAUUCAGCAUGUUUUGGAGCACGGCAGACCAGAAGAUAAGAGCAAGAUAGUCGCAGAGGUUCGAGGAAAGGUUCUUGUCCUCAGUCAACACAAAUUUGCAAGUAAUGUCGUGGAGAAGUGUGUGAUCCACUCUUCGCGUGCAGAGAGGGCUCUGCUGAUAGAUGAAGUGUGCUGCCAGAAGGACGGGCCCCACAGCGCCCUGUACACCAUGAUGAAGGACCAGUACGCCAACUAUGUGGUUCAAAGAAUGAUUGACAUGGCAGAACCUGCUCAGCGCAAAAUCAUCAUGCACAAGAUCCGUCCUCACAUUGCCACUUUACGUAAGUACACCUACGGGAAGCACAUUCUGGCCAAGCUGGAAAAGUACUACAUGAAGAGCGGAUCUGAACUGGGUCCCAUCGGUGGCCCCACGAACGGCCUCAUGUAGUCACGUCGAAAUCCUGGGUCCCCUGAAGAAGUGGAGGAGUAGGAGCCCCAAACCCCCCUGUUCUGUGAGAGAUGCUCCUUAGCCAUAGGGGUUAGCCUUUGACACCCUCUGUUAUCCCAUUUUGAGGGAAUUACCAAAAAAAAGACAAGUCAACUUCACCUAAGAACGCUGUGACAACUGACCCCUGCCACUCUGCCACCCCUGGUGCAGGUCCCCAGUGUGGCCCCCAGGGGACGCACAGUCAGCAGGCAGAUUUUACUUUACCUAUUUUGUUUUUCCCUGGGUAAAGCACAAGCCCAUUGUUAAUGAUGUAAUUGAUGUAUUUGACUGGUUUUCAUAUUCUCUUGUACAUUUAGUUUUUUACCUUGUAAAUUCUCUGUAGAAAAAAAAACAAUUAUACGCAUUUGCUGAAAUUUCCAAUUCCUACAAUUAACACCAGCAAGUGAUUUUAUAAGGCUAAACUGAGUGAUCCUUUAAAAAAAAAACAAUUCCACUUGUUUUUGUAACCAGACUUAUUAUGUCAGCUGUUCUAAUCAAGUCUAGGCAAAUUGAAAAUAGUUUUUGUAUAUUACCCCAUGCACAGUAAAAGUGUUUCCCAUGCCAAAGCAGCUGAUGGAUUAGUUUUUAAAUAGCACUACAUAGUAUGGAUGGAUAUAAACCCCUCCGUCCACAGGUGAGUACUAUGUGUCCUGUGCCACAGUCACCCAGAGGUCUUCAAGACCAGUUUGCGAGCUUGGCUUCGGGAUUGGUGCUUUAGUCUAGGGUGGUGUUUUUUCCAGUGGUGGCUUAUUCUUUUUAAGGCUGAUUGGGGGAGGCGUGUGUUUACCCAAGCGGGGUUUUGUUCUGCCUGAUGUAAUUUUCUGAACAGUUUCGGUACUAAAUAUAACAGACUGACCAACCUGAGCUGCUGCAUCCACUGAGCCCCAUUCGACACGUCUGUCCCUCAUCCAGGUGAUCACUCGGGGUUUAUGCAAAAUAAAUAGCUACCAUUAACUUAUAGAAGCAGAGCAUGAGGUUUGGUUGUACAGCGGGCGUGUAACCUGGUAUAAUCUUAACAUGAAAUGACUGUAGUGGGGGGGCUUUUUUGUGGGUAUAGUGGGGUGGGACUGGGGUAUGUGUUGGCAUGCUGUGACAGGUUUUAAUCCUUGGAAUGAUUUUUUUCCUUUAUCAUGUUUUGUGUAACAUCUUAUCUGUCUUGUACUUUGAGAUGAACACUGCCCUAGAAACGGUAUCUUUAUGUACUGAAUAAUCAUCUCUUGCGUAGAAGUAGUUUAACGAUGUAUAGCAUCUUUAUGUAUGUGUAAAUUGUUGCUUUUGGGUAGGGGCUUGCAGCGACGAUGGGACCCCCACCGCCUGAAGGAGUAGUCCAAAAAAAAUGUUGUGAAGUGGAGCUUAUCCCAGCUUUGUAUAUCUGAGGUGAAAUUAACUAGAAGUAGUGGGAUAAGUUGAAGAAAGGGAUGCCGAAAGAACCUUUUUUUUUCUUUCUUUUUUUUUUUUUUAAAUGGUUCUGUUUUUGUUUUUUAAACUUCUUUUUUUUUCCAUUUGGUUGGGUAUGCAAGUGCAUUGGUGGAGGCCGGUGGGGCCAUCGAAAGCUAUACAAUUCACCUGUAAUGCUCGUAGUGAUGGCUUCAUAUGAAUACUUGUAGAAUACAUGUAGUAUAUGUGCAGUUAAUAAGUGUAAGAUUAUUAGUUUAAUUGAAAAAAAAAAAAUGUCUAGUUGUGGUGUUUUUGACAGGCCUUGCUCUAAAUUUGUAGUGAUGCUUUUAUUUCGUCUGUACAGUUGUACAUUUGUAAACGUUUAUGCUGUAAAUGGGAUGUCUUUUACACUUUUUGGGGAGAAAAAGGCAAAAAUGUGCAUUUUGAUGUGUGUAUAUUCAUCACUCCUUUCCCCUUGAAUAUAAUGUAUACAGUUUUAUUUGAUCAAGUGUUAUUUUAAAGGAAAAAAAAAACUUUAUGGCUUCACAAUCUGGCAUGUUUUUUGUUUUUAAUCUGUUAUGGGAAAGGCCAGCCUCUAUUUGUACCGGAGCUGUAACAUCCACUGUUGAUAGUCUUUCUGAAGUGUGACAGUUUAAAAAGAAGAAGAAAAAAAACACUCUGUACUAAAACUGAGGCUGCAUUUAGUCCUCUCUGAUACCACGGAAACUUCACAGGACAUGACAAGAAUUAUUUUUGUACAGAAGAGUGCUGUAUUUUGGAACAGCUUCUACCUUGUAAGCAAAAGCAAUGUAAAAUAUUGUCAAUUAUAUAAAUAUGAACAUAUGAGUUUUGUCACACUGUCAAAGUCAUGUACAUUUUCAGGUGGCCUUAUGUACAUUUCCAGAUGUUAGAUGAAGAAAACAAACUCAUUUUUGGAAGCAGAAUUGUGACUAUGUAUUAUUAAACUGUUCUUCUAACAUUUGACCAGCAUUGUUG
Anoplopoma fimbria (sablefish) is the source of this 16940-nucleotide RNA transcript. It is a transcript of the gene named apolipoprotein B-100-like, with no coding region annotated. The record is from RefSeq and is a predicted model, not a curated record. The transcript is spliced from 50 exons. NCBI's taxonomy places the organism in Eukaryota, Metazoa, Chordata, Actinopteri, Perciformes, Anoplopomatidae.